AUCCAGCUAAUGAGUCCUGAAUAGGACGAAACGCGCGUUCUGAAU
Non-coding RNA from Schistosoma mansoni, 45 nucleotides. The record is from Rfam. Lineage: Eukaryota; Metazoa; Platyhelminthes; Trematoda; Strigeidida; Schistosomatidae.